Molecule: long non-coding RNA, 920 nt
Organism: Mastomys coucha (southern multimammate mouse)
Lineage: Eukaryota; Metazoa; Chordata; Mammalia; Rodentia; Muridae
Exons: 5
Source: RefSeq, a predicted model, not a curated record
GGUGGGGCCCGCUGCCUGGAGCGCAAAGAGCGGGCGCCUGCGUAGUAUAACUCUGGACAAUCCUGCCCCGCCCCCGUGGCCGACCAAUCGGAAGCCUGAUAGGAGACGGAGCUCCCCGAGGGAGGGGAAAAGUGUGAGAACCUGGCGGAAGCACCGCCCCUCGAAGGCUGGUAUCUGGAACCUAUGACCACCUACAGGAACUGCCUUAAGGAGUGGCAAUUUAGUGAAUUCCUUUUGUUCCUGUACGGGGUUUUUUUUCUAUACAGAGAUGGAUGACUAUUCAGCUGGGGCUCAUGGCCGAAAACAUCUGAAAGUAGGUCUGCUCCGAUUAAACUCCGUGCUGUUAAAACUUCUACAACAAAGCAGCGCGGACCAUCUUGCCAAGUCACCCACACCUCUCAGGCUUGGCUGCGCCCCAGAAGGUCGGUUUGCUGCUGUAAUCGUCUCCGGGCACGCCGCCUCCCCUGCCAUACUUGGUGCCACAAGGCACAGCGCCAGCUCACUGAUGAUGGAUGUAGUCUGAAUGAAGUAUAUUAAUGAGGCCCGUUUCAAGGCAGUACAAUGAAGAAGAGACUACAGUGAUAAGAGAUAAACACAUUCAUUCAAGGAGGUGGAACGUGAAGUGGAGCAGAUCCCCAAUCAGAAUGCUCAAUCCUCCAGGACGAUGGGCUCAUUGGUGCUGGCAGGAUGUGAAGAAGCUGGCAGAGGAACUGGGGGCCGCACUGUCAUCAGCGUUGGCUUCACCUUCAGGGAUCAGAAAAUACUUAUAUAAAGCCACUUCUGUGCCAGAGAUGGAGCUCAACAGUAAACCACUUAACCAGAACAUAUGAGGUUCUAGGUUUUGAUCUACAGCACCACCACCAAAAAAACAACAACAAGAAAGAUCAUAAUAAUAAUAAACAUAUACACACAUACUCGAA